GUGAAUCAUCGAAUGUUUGAACGCAAAUUGCACUCGUUGGUAUUCCGGAGAGUAUGCCUGUUUGAGGGUCAGUUUAAAGAAAAAUCGGUGUGGUUGCUGGUUUUCGUGGUGACGGACCGGAUUUGGGAAGGCUUGCCUUCGGUUAAGUGACCUACAAUUUUGUAUGAUUGUUCUCGAACGUAUCGAAAUGAGUUUACGUACGGUGGCG
Molecule: unclassified non-coding RNA, 208 nt
Filed under: Glomeraceae sp.
Lineage: Eukaryota; Fungi; Glomeromycota; Glomeromycetes; Glomerales; Glomeraceae
Description: partial contains 5.8S ribosomal RNA and internal transcribed spacer 2
Rfam family: 5.8S ribosomal RNA (bases 1-71)
Source: RNAcentral